This 419-nucleotide ribosomal RNA is filed under the name Callimedusa tomopterna group sp. ABGD cluster 29. RNAcentral's name for it is "partial large subunit ribosomal RNA". It matches the Rfam family "Bacterial large subunit ribosomal RNA", at positions 1835 to 2439 of the family's 2925-position model. Lineage: Eukaryota; Metazoa; Chordata; Amphibia; Anura; Hylidae. The record is from RNAcentral.
CCUGAUUAAUAUAGGAGGUCCAGCCUGCCCAGUGACUCUGUUUAACGGCCGCGGUAUUCUAACCGUGCGAAGGUAGCGUAAUCACUUGUUCUUUAAAUGAGGACUAGUAUGAAUGGCAUCACGAGGGUUAUACUGUCUCCUUUUCCAAAUCAGUGAAACUAAUCUCCCCGUGAAGAAGCGGGGAUAAAAAUAUAAGACGAGAAGACCCUAUGGAGCUUAAAACUUUCAACAAUUAUAUUUUAUUUAUAAACCUAAAGGUAAUCAAACUAAUCCUUAUAAUAUGUGUGUUAGUUUUCGGUUGGGGUGACCGCGGAGUAAAACCUAACCUCCAUAUUGAAUUAAAUUAUUUAUUAGCAAAAAACUACAAUUUUAUGCAUCAAAAAAUUGACAUUAUUGACCCAAUAUUUUGAUCAACGAAC